CAGUCGAGCUCAGCUCUCUACAACCCAAUUCAGGGCGUUGCUCGCGUUGGGAACAGUAAUCAACGAUGUAAGUCAACCCGUGAGAUUACUCUGACGGCCACUGUUUGGCCUCCUUCCACCCCUACUGCAGUUCAGGAGUACCGGGAAUAUCCACCCCGAUGUGUGCAGUAUGUUACCGACCAUGUCUCCCAACGGUUGGGCGCUCCCCCUCGGUUAGGGUAUUUCGGUCAGCAUCAGGCCUAGCGUCAGACGUUGAGCUGACGCACUUCAGCCUUAGCGAUCAUUAGCGCCUAGUCUUACAGCGCCACUUAUGCAAGGGCCCAGAACAUGUGUGGCGGGCAGUGUGGUACCCUCGCCCAAGACGGUCUUCAUCAAUCGGAUUGGCGUUCCUCCCGCUAAUGGUGCCGUCCCAAGCACUGACCCCACUUCAGCAUUGUUCCAUCGGCAUUUCCCGCUUAAGACGUCUAUAGGUAGUGUGACCGCCGGCGAGCUCGUACGUA
RNAcentral lists this ribosomal RNA (500 nucleotides) under uncultured bacterium. RNAcentral's name for it is "partial 16S ribosomal RNA". The record is from RNAcentral.